Molecule: ribosomal RNA, 492 nt
Filed under: uncultured bacterium
Lineage: Bacteria
Description: partial 16S ribosomal RNA
Rfam family: Bacterial small subunit ribosomal RNA
Source: RNAcentral
AGUGAACGCUGGCGGUAGGCCUAACACAUGCAAGUCGAACGGUAGCACAGUAAGAGGUGGCGCUGACGGGUGGCGAGGGGAGGACGGGUGAGGAAUGCGCCGGAACGUGGGGGAUCACUGGGGGAAAGGGAGGGAAAUACAGGCUACUACCUAAGACGGAAAACGGGGGAAAGCAGGGGAUCUCGGGACUUGGGCGGAUGGAGUGAGACGAUGUCGGAUUAGGUAGUUGGGGGGGUAAAGGCCCACCAAGGCGACGAUCCGUAGCUGGUCUGAGAGGAUGAUCAGCCACACUGGAACUGAGACACGGUCCAGACUCCUACGGGAGGCAGCAGUGGGGAAUAUUGGACAAUGGGCGCAAGCCUGAUCCAGCCAUACCGCGUGCGUGAAGAAGGCCUUCGGGUUGUAAAGCCCUUUUGUUCGGAAAGAAAAGCCGCUGGUUAAUACCCCGCUGUUCUGACGGUACCCAAAGAAUAAGCACCGGCUAACUUCGUG